This 141-nucleotide small nuclear RNA is filed under the name Cervus hanglu yarkandensis (Yarkand deer). RNAcentral describes it as "U4 spliceosomal RNA (ENSCHYG00000013720.1)". It matches the Rfam family "U4 spliceosomal RNA". Rfam says of the family: U4 small nuclear RNA (U4 snRNA) is a component of the major U2-dependent spliceosome. Lineage: Eukaryota; Metazoa; Chordata; Mammalia; Artiodactyla; Cervidae. The record is from Rfam by way of RNAcentral.
AGCUUUGCGCAGUGGCAGUAUCAUAGUCAAUGAUGUUUAUCCGAGGCACGAUUAUUACUAAUUGAAAACUUUUCCCAAUACCCCACCAUGACCACCUGAAAUAUAGUCGGCAUUGGCAAUUUUUGAUAGUCUCCACAGAGA